Non-coding RNA from Cinara cedri, 249 nucleotides. Lineage: Eukaryota; Metazoa; Arthropoda; Insecta; Hemiptera; Aphididae. The record is from the annotation of a GenBank genome assembly.
UGUUUAUAACUUUCUGAUACUAUUUAAAAAAAAAAAAAAAUAAUAACAUUUUAACAAUAUCGUAAUGGUAAAACCAGUAUAGAAACGUACCCUUGCCCGACUGUAACAACAAACGUACUCGUAAAUCAUUCUCAUGUAAAGAUAAAUCGCUUAAUUUGAAAGGUACCACUAAAAUUUGAUACUCUAAAACAUGUUUAAAGAUAAUUAAUUAUUAAUUUGUCUUCACUCAAAACACUUUUUCGAAAAAAA